Molecule: ribosomal RNA, 253 nt
Filed under: uncultured bacterium
Lineage: Bacteria
Description: partial 16S ribosomal RNA
Rfam family: Bacterial small subunit ribosomal RNA
Source: RNAcentral
UACGAAGGGGGCUAGCGUUGCUCGGAAUCACUGGGCGUAAAGCGCACAUAGACGGAUUGCUAAGUCAGGGGUGAAAUCCUGGAGCUCAACUCCAGAACUGCCUUUGAUACUGGCGAUCUCGAGUCCGGGAGAGGUGAGUGGAACUGCGAGUGUAAAGGUGAAAUUCGUAGAUAUUCGCAAGAACACCAGUGGCGAAGGCGGCUCACUGGCCCGGUACUGACGCUGAGGUGCGAAAGCGUGGGGAGCAAACAGG